RNAcentral lists this small RNA (28 nucleotides) under Bombyx mori (domestic silkworm). RNAcentral's name for it is "ovarian small RNA-5612". Lineage: Eukaryota; Metazoa; Arthropoda; Insecta; Lepidoptera; Bombycidae. The record is from RNAcentral.
UAAAUUUCCAAAAUUUGGAGAGUAGGCC